Molecule: long non-coding RNA, 13999 nt
Filed under: Eucalyptus grandis
Lineage: Eukaryota; Viridiplantae; Streptophyta; Magnoliopsida; Myrtales; Myrtaceae
Description: long non-coding RNA (EGRA_LNC004371)
Source: RNAcentral
CGGUGUAAUUCCAAAUCUUGAUAGCUCCAUGCUGAUCCCAGUCACCUUCAUGAACUUUGACUCCUUGAAUGUUUUUGGAGGUGGCGGUGGGCAAUUUGUGGGUUUCACUCCUCCAAAUCUUGAAGAACUUGUCAGCUGGUGCUUUCAGUUCGACUUCAGUCUCCAGUUUUCCCUUCAAAUUAGCCAUGUUGGCACAAAUAUUGAGACUCCAAAAUUCGCGAAGCUCGUUGGAACAAUGGGUUGUGCUGAGAAAAAAGAGGUGUCGCUUGCUUCUUAAAUUGACUUUGGCGUUUCGUCUCUUCUUCAGGUCCCACACAUCAUGUUUCAUGUGGUCCUUGACAUGUUUACUAAUUAUAUCGACGUGUCAAAUUGCUAUUGGAGUGCUUUAUAAAAUGUAUUUUGGACCAAUAAAAAGAUAUGCCUGAUCAAUUAUGACCGUGGCCUGUUAAUAAUGGAUGCAAUUCAAGCCAUACAUUUUUUUUCGGUCAUUAGCAAUUAAAUGUCUAAUUCAUACAUUUCUAAUAUUCUCAUAAUGAGCUCUAAUACUCUAUGAAAGUUGCCCGUUGAAUUCAUCUUCUAAUCUGAUUGAUCUGCCAAGGUCAACUUAAGAUUAUACCGAAUGCAUAAUAUAAAGAAAGAGGUCAAUUACCUGGCCUAUAGGCGGACUCAAGGUAUAUUCGGUGAGUUAGAAGAUGCCUUCAUCAUUUCUUUAAAAUAUUAUUAUGAUGUGCAUGUGAGGGUGUUAAGCGAAAAACGUUCCAUAUUUGGCAUAUAAUUCAGUAUUUUAUUUUAUUUUAAGUUGAGCUGAGCCUAACUAGAUAAUGUAUAUAUUGGUAGGUGUAGAUUUAAGGUCUCUCUUGAGGAUCUCCAUAGGUGAAGAUAUCGGAGUUAUAUUGUGCAUCUCAACAGGUGUUUUCUCAAAAUGAGAAUUUACAAUGUGACUCAUUGAUCAUGGUGGUAGAUGGUAUCCCUCGCUUCUUCCCAAGUUUAAUUGGGCAAAGGCGAUUGAGGUAGAGUCAGAAGGGCAAACAUUAGUCAUGCAACCAUUAGCCAAAACUAGUGAGGCAAGGUAGAGAUUCAAGUUGAGAAUGUUGGUAUGGAAGGAUAUUUAAAUUAAAGAGGAGCUAGCCUAAUGCAAAAGAGUCACGUGUGGAGAGAGAUUUGUUUAAGUGGAUGUGUGAAGGUUUUAGGUGUAAAAAGUUUCUCUUAUGCUUUCUUCCCUCAAAUACCAAAUCUUUCUUUCUCUCUUUUUUUCCUUCCCCCCCCCCCCCCACAAGGCAUGAUUCAUGUGACACUUGGUAUUCUUUUUCAUGUCUUAGUCAAUCUACUAGCUAAUCGGUUUAUUAAAUGUCCAUGUGCAUUACAAAAAACAAAUCUUAUUUAGUCAAUAGCUCAUAAAUAUUCACAAAUCGUACGACUUUAAUCAUAUAAUAUUUAGCUAAUUGUAUAGAUUAGCAAAUUUUAUUGAUCUAGCACAUUGUCCAAAUCUUUCACCAAGAAAAAACAAGGAUUAUUACCUUAAACCCACUUGUCAAAGAGAUAAUCUUUUCUUAGAGUGGAAAAAUCAUCCCUAACGUGUACUUGCGUUCCAUAGUUGAAAUGGAAGGAUUUACAUUGUUUUAUGUAUGUAUGUCAAACUUUGAUUAGCCAAUUUGGUCGAAACUCCAAAGGUGCGAUCAUUGUUUUAUGCGUAUACGUACAUCCAUCACACACAUAUAUGCAUGUGGGAAAUUGUUGUCAUGGCCAAAGGAAAAAAAAAAAAGUUGGAACGUGGAAGCUGUGUGAUAAAUUGUCACAUCAUCUCAAAGUAUCGAUACAACGUAAAUGGAUAAACAAAAAUUUAGAAACCGAGUUCGUAAAUACGAGAAAAAUCUUGCAAGCGCACAACUUUGCAUGAAAACAAAGGAAUUCACUCUCUAAAUGUAUUAUAAUUAAGGAUGAAAAAGCUUUUUGUUCUCCAGACAAGAAAUUUAUUCAUGAUAGAGAAAGUUGUAACCUUAAAAGGAUAAAAUAUCUAAUUCAUAUCUUUACCAAAAAAUAUAUAUAUAUAUAUCUAAUUCAUAUUGCAAAAUAGCAGCAAGUUGAAAUUUUUAUAUUAACCACCGGGGUUUGCCUCAAUAGCCACCCUUCUCACCUGAGAAGAGAGAUGUGGAGGGUUCAAAUCCUCAUUUUCUUGAAUAGGUUGGGCUGGGGACAAUUAACUUCAUGUAUAUAUUUUGACUCUCACGUCUUAUUAAGAGAUAUGAGAAAAGUAUGAGAGUGAGUUGAAAGUUAAAGUAGGACUAAUCGAAAAAAAUCUCUAUUUUGAAAAAAUGGAUGUCCUAAACUAACUAGCCAGUACUAAUUCUAAAAUCUUAUCUUCUUAAACACUCACAUGUAAGUCUUCAUCGAAUCUCAAUAUGUAUUCUUACAAAUUCGUGCGUUAUACAUAGCAUGAACUUUCAUGCUUGUCCCAAGCCUAAUGUGAGGUUAUAUAUUUACUUCUUAAUGAACAUAUCAUACCAAUUGACAAUAUUUCUACAAAAUCAUCCUUGGAAAAAUGGAGGUUACUCCAAUUAAUAGUCAACUUUCAUGUUGUAGUCAUACUCACAUGUUAUAUCUCGUCCCCAUUGCGAGGAGAUGUCUUCACUCCAUCACUCAAGCAAUCACAAGAAUUGACGAUACUUCUACAAAUUCGUCCUUUGGGAAAGGGGAGGUAAUUCUUUGCCACUGCGAAGAUUUUAAGAAAAGGAGCUAGCUUGGCAAAUGAACUCUCUUUCGGUGAAACAUGAAAAGAACACGAUAUAACAGUCAAAAUAAUAAUAAUCAUACGUAAUUCAGUUUGCAUCCUCGACUUUUGAAUUAUAGAUCUUGUACCCUGAGAUAAAAACGUAAGCAAUCAGGGGGUCUAAACAGCUAUGUAAAAUAGACAAGGCAAAGUUUGGGUUUUUUUUUCUUUUUUUAUGAGAAAAAAAUGUGCACAGUGCAGUAAUUUUGAUAUUAUUGAAAUAACUGGACGAAUACAAAUUAAUGGGAAAAUUAAGUAUCACUUUCGUAAUUCUAAGAUACUCUAUGGUACGAAUGAAUGAUAGAUUGAACAAUAAACGGAAAGAAUUUUACGCUUGGUGCAAGCAGCAAGAAAUUUAAGGUGAGUGCAAGAAAGAAAAUGGAACUAGAAAAUGGUUGAAAAUAAGCGUGACUCGGAUAUCAUACUAAAUGAUCCAGCUUAGAAAUCAGAAGGUUUAAUCAAGUGGUAAGCUUGUUCGUCCUUUUUUAUUCAGGACUUGAAUUUGAAUCGCUAUGUUUGCACAUUCUUCCAGGACCACUCCAAAGAACAUAGACCAACGUGUCUCGAAUAAUUACACACCCAAAAUAGGUGGUAUAAGAGGACUGUCACGCAUGGUAAGAAUAAGUUAGAUGUUCAAAACAUUCUGGACAUCCCAUUAAGUUCUGAAAAUAAUAAAGCACCAACAAUUAAAUGGUCGACAAGGCGAUGCAAAUUUUAACUAUCGUAAAAUAAAGAUUAAAUAGCGAAGUGAAUUACCACCCUAACAUAAAAAGGAUGAAUUCAUAAAAAAAAUUUCCUCCUCCGGCAAGAUCCUAAAUCUUCUCCGUUGGGAUGAUCCAAAGGAAUGGGGCAGAGUCGAUGUGGCCUUCCUUUGGGCUCAAGAUUCGAAAUUCAAGAAACUUAACUUUACUUAGGAAAAAAAAUCAAAUCGAUAUAGCCUCCAUCGUUUCGCAAAAAAAAAAAAAAAAUCAUUUUUCAAUAAAUAAUAGUAUUUUUUGGUAUUUGGCUGAAAUCUUAAAUGAAUUGGAAUAUAUUUUCCGUCGUUUGGUAGGAUAAUUAGAUUUUGAAGGAAAAUAUUACCCAAAAAAUCGAAUUUUUAAUUAUUUUUUCUCUCUUUUUUUUCCUUCUUCCUUGGCAAGUGGCCGACCAUGAUGAUGGCCACUAGCCACAAGCAAGAGACAAGCUCACUAGCCUUGGGUAAGCUUGUCCCUCAAUGAAGAAGGAAAAGGAAAAGAAAAAACAAAAAAAAAAAGAGAGCAAAAAAAUAAUUAAAAACAUGAUUUUUUAAAAAUAUUUUUAUAAGAAUGAAUAAUUCAUUAAUCAAGAACUCAAGCCCGAGCAGUGAGGACCCGCACAUGGCCUUUGUGGACCAGAGCUCGAGUAUGGAGGACUCGAGCAUCUCCCUUAUAGACUUAGGCAAAAGUGCCGAAGAAUCAAGCAUGGGCACUAGGGGUUUGGGCACAGCCUCAAUGGACCCGGGCAUGGGCCCAAGCCCAACCACCGGAGACCUAACGUUAGAGCUUUCAUGUCCAGGUAUAGAAUUUAUGGUCCAAACGCAAAUAUUUACUAGUUUUUCAAAGAGGGAAAUCAUUGUCCUAAAUUUAAGCACGGUUUUCCAUGGAUUAGGAGAAUGUUUUUUCUGAAAAUGUUUCCUGCAAAAGAAAGAAGGCCUUGAAAUUAGUUAAUCUUUCCACAAGUGGAAAUUAUAGCAUUCCUCGCAUAUCGAGUAAUAAUUGUCCUUGAACCAAAUAUAGUCCAGGCAUAGCAGAAAUCUAGAGGACGGACAUGUCUACUUUCAGAAUUAAUAACAUCAUGACUUUGUUUCGCUUUCAGUAUAUAGGAUUACGGAAAUCUAUCUUUAGAAAGAUAUGCGCCACCACUUGAACUAUUUUUAGGAUCACGUGGUAAGUAAUAGCACAUCAACAUAGUCGCAUGUAAGAUUUUCAAUUUUCAAUGCUUGACAACAUUAAGAACAACUCAAGCAAUCGCUUGUAAGCUGCACCUCACAUUUGACAGCGAAAUUGCAACGAUAAUCACGAUAUUAAGGUGCGGGCCAAAAGUUAUUGAAGAAUAUUACGAUUCAUGCAACAAAGAUUCUUGAUUAUAGGAUAUUUUCUUUUCUGGUCAAUUAGGCUAAAGCUCAAUAUGUGAAAAAUCACCCGAGGAACAAUCUAAAAUUCCCAAAAAGUCUCCAGAAUAUGUCUAAAAAUCGUGUGCAUCAAAUCAUCUACACUACAGAAAUAUAAUCUUUAUUCAAUUUUAAUCAAUUUGUAUUUCGAUGCUGUUUAUUGCGAUUAAAUUCAGGUAUCAACAUGAUGCGAUUACUCUAUGUAUUCUCAUGCGCAAUUGAAAUGGUCAAGUAAACACGCCCAAAGUCCACAUCUUGGACAGUAAUCUGCGGAGGGAUCAAAUCAAAGGAUGUACUACCUUACCCCAAACAAAUAAUUUUGCAAAAACCACGAGUGUCUUAUUACAAGCACAAUUACACAUGAAGACAAUAUACCAAAUCUCAUAUUCCCAAACACAACUAAACUUCACAUCACCCGAUCGACCAGCUUGAUUUAUUGGAUCAUCCCGAUACAUGGAAGUAUCAGAAAUCUCAAGCAUUAUAUAGCGAAACUUCAUAUACGAUAAUAGUCAUGCCAUGAUCCUUUCCUUCAUGCGCUUGCGAGGUGAGCAUCGAUAUCCUUGGUCAUAUCGAUGACCACGGCCAUGUACUUGUCGGGGCUAGGGUCACUCUCCUUGUACUUCUCGUACUCGAUGCUCAGCUUGGCCACACUGCCUUGCACUUUUGGGACGACUUUGCACCCCACCUUGUAGACCUUCCACGUGUCCAGGAUAUGGCCCUCGAUGCCGUGCAGGGUGAACGACAUGUUGUCAUCAUCGAACUCGACCUUCUCUUUGAACACUUCGGAUUUUCCUUCUAUAUAAUCGCACCAGCAAAAAUAUAAGGUUCGAGUUAGGCACGGCCGUCAAUUUAAUUUCAAUGACAACAUGGAAUAAAACUGAUAAUUAGACAGAUCAAAUUGAACCAAUUACCAACGGUGUAAUUCCAAGUCUUGAUAGCUCCAUGCUGAUCCCAGUCACCUUCAUGAACUUUGAUUCCUUGAAUGUUUUUGGAGGUGGCGGUGGGCAUUUUGUGGGUUUCACUCCUCCAAAUCUUGUAGAACUUGUCAGCUGGUGCUUUCAGUUCGACUUCAGCCACCAGUCUUCCCUGCAAAUUAGCCAUGUUGGCACAAAUAUUGAGACUUCAAAAUUCACCAAGUUCGUUAGAACACUGGCCUGCGUUGAGAAAAAAGUAGCGUUACUUGUUUCUUAUAUAGACUUUGGCGUUCAUUUUCGUCUCUACUUCAGGUCCCACACAUCAUGAUUCACAUGGUCCUUGAUAUGUUCAUCAAUUAUAUCUCCCUGUCAAAUUGUUAUUGGUUUAUAAAAUGUAUUUUGGACCAAUAAAAAGAUAUGACCGAGCGAUUACAGCUGUGGCCUGUCAAAUAAUUGAAGCAAUUCAAGACUUCUAUCUAUAUCGGUCAUCAGAAAUUAAAGGCCUAAUUCAUUCAUUUCUUAUUUUCUCAUAAUGAGUUCCAAUAUUCUAUGAAAGUUGCGAGUGGAAAUCAUCUUCUACUCUGAUUGAUCUGCCCAGGUAAACUUAAGAUUAUACCCGAUGCAUAAAAUAAUGAAAGAGGUAACUUACCUGGCCUACAGGUGGACUCUCAGGUGUAUUUGGUGAGUUAUAAGAUGCCUUCAUCAUUUCUCUAUAUUAUUAUGAUGAUGCGCAUGAGAGGGUGUUAAAGCCAAAAAAAGGUUUUAUAUUUGACAUAUAAUUCAUUAGUUUUAAUUUUUUAAGUGGAGAUGAGCCUAACUAGAUAAUAGAUGUAUUGAUAGGCGUAGAUUUGGGGUCUCUCUUGAUACAGGUGAAGAUAUCAGAGUUAUGUUGCACAUCUCAAUGAGUGUUUUCUCAAAAUAAGAAUUUACAAUGUGACUCUUUGAUCGUGGUGGUAGAUGGUAUCCCUUGCUUCUUGCCAAGUUUAAUUGGGCAAAAGCGAUUGAGGUAAAGUCAGAAGGACAAACGUUAUUCACGCAAAUUUGGCAAGGCCAAGGUAGAGAUUCGAGUUAAGAAUAUUGGUACAGAAGGACCUUUGAAUUAAGGAGGAGCUAGCCUAAGGAAGAGACUCAUGCUUGGAGGGAGAUUUGUUUAAGUGGAUGUGUGAAGGUAUUAGGUGAAAAAAGUCUCACUUCAGUUGAUAAGGUGUAAGAUGGAGCAAUUUAUUUGGCUCAAUAAAUAAUUGGUUUAAGCUUUUGAAGGUGCAGAUGAGUCUAACUAGAUAAAUUGAUAGGCUCAGAAUUGGGCUCUCUCAAGAUGUGGUGUAAAGUGAGCAAUUAAUUUAGCCGACUAACUCAUUGGUUCAAGUUUUCGGAGUGGAGAUUGAUAAUGCUAGUACGAGUACCUAGAGGGGGGGUGAAUAGGUUUAUAAAAUUUCUUGAAGAUUGCACAAUACUUAGACAGAUGAAUGAUUAAAGAAUCAAUCGUAAGACUGAGUAAAGGAAAGAGAGAAUUAAACACGAGGUUUAUAGUGGUUCGGCUUGAUUCAAGCAUACGUCCACUCUUCUGCACUGACAGCCGAUUGGCUGGAUUCCACUAUGAACAAAGAGAUGUUACAGUGUUGAUCUUCCUUGAUUUCUCGAUGUAGAUGAUCUACUACACUCGCUCAAGGUAUCACCAAGUAUAAACACUCUCUGUGUGUACAAUUUCGCUCGAACUGUAUCGACUAACAAUCAAGGUUCUUCAGACUCUGGAAUUUUUCUAUCGAUCACACACUUAAAACAACUACAACGUCUUCCUUUUAUACUCCUUUAUGUCAUCAUAGCCGUUGGCACUUACCAAAGGAAUUCCUCCAACCUACCCGUUGGUCGGAAUCAAUUAAGAAGAUCAUCCGAGCUAUUUAAGGAAUCUGAUGAUAGCCCAUCAAUCAUGUUCGCCCAUACAAUCAGGAUUUUGGUUUCCAAGAAUAGAACAUUCCAAGAAUGUUUCGUCGACCAUCGGAUCUUCUAUUGUUCUUAAAUGAGAAUCAAAAAAUCCGUAGUGAUUAUCCAACCAAGGGAUCUUUUCCAGAGGAUUGGAUCGAAUCCCCAACCAUAUACUUCGGCUUCGGAUAUCCUUCGCCACUGGAUUAAGAAGACUGUCGGUGAGAAUAAUCUUGAGUCUUGAGUCUUGAGUCUUGAGUCUUGAGAUUACAAAGUCUUGAGACUUUAACUAUCGAUAUCCAGACUAGACUGAUAGAAAGCAAUUAAUUUAGCCGACUAACUCAUUGGUUCAAGUUUUCGGAGUGGAGAUAAGUCUAAUUAGAAGUAUUGAUGGGUUUGGAGUUGGACUCUCUCUUCUCCAUCUCCCCAAGUGAAGGUAUUAAGCUGCUUCUUUUACACUCCUAACAAUUGUUACACAUUAAUAUACUAAAUAUACUAAGAUCAGUCUAUAAAGUUUUGUACACUAAGCGACAAGACGGAGUGUAAGUAAACAUAUAAUCAAGUUGAUCAUUGUCCAGACCCAAUAAAAAGCCUGUCAUGUCGUAUAGUAUACAAUUUUGUGUUAUUGUCUCAAUAUACUUAGCCACAAAAAAGUCGACCAUUGAUGCUUGACCGACCAUUUCAAGAAAAAAUUUCAACACAAGACUUAAUGGAGAGACCGUAUACUCCAAAUUGACCAUAAGAGGCCAUUCUACCCUCCACGCACAAUUGCCAAAAACACUGGUGGAUGGAUGCUUGCUUUAGUUGACCAACAUUUCCCGGAUAUAAGAGUUAACCAACAAUUGUAGCAAACUAGUUGAAGAUUGUUUGGUAGGCACUUGCAACCUUACCCUCUUGAUGAAGGAUCUGUGGUUCACAAUCUCCAUUACGGACGCGGUGCUCAUGUUUUUUGGCAUCCAUUUUGUUAUGUUUUGCUAUGAGAGGACAGGACAACUGCAUUUAAUUACGGUCUUGGAGUGGUGUCUUAUGAUCGAGUACUUUUUCUAUAUAAUGUGGCUGUUGAUUGGUUUUCAAUCGCGGCAAAUUGCUUGAUCCAAAUUAGGGUUCGAAGAAUUUUGAUAAUGGCUUGAUCUGUCUGAAUUAUGGUUUAUAUGUAGGGCAAAACAUAAAGACCAUGUUGUUUAGGAGGCACACUAGCUAGCCGCGUCAACUUGGGAAAUUAAUAAAAUAUUGUCAUGUCAAAUUUCCAGCAUCCAAAAUUGAAAUUGUUACUCAAGUGAUUCGACGAAACACAAGUGUCAUAACUUUCGUGCUAAAGUGAUAUACCUUUUGUUUCAACCAUUUGAAUCGAAAUAAAAAAAGAUGGUGGACUUUAAAUAACCAUAUUUUGCUUUUUGAAACCCCAAUCAAUCUUCAAGACACCAAAAAAAAAAAAAAAAAAUUAAGGGCUAAUCAACGGCCUUAGUCUUACCUGCAAUGUAUUCCAAAUCUUAUAUAAUAUCUUAGCUGGCGAUUUCAGCUCCAAUUCGCCAUGCAAUGUCAUUUUGCGUUUUCGAAACGAAGAGUUAACUAAAGUUCAAAAUAUGAACGCUCAUGUGCAAACAAGUUAGCAUGGAUACACUUCAUAUGUAUAGAUGAUGAAGGCCCCCGAUUGCCAUUAUUUAUGUUUCUACAGGGCCGUGCAAGGCAUGAUUCAUGUGAUCCUUGGUAUUCGUUUUCAUGUUUUAGUCAACCUUCUAACUAAUCGGUUUAUUAAAUGAGCAUGCGCAUUGCCAAAAAAAAAAAAAUCUUAUUUAAUUAAUAGCUCGUCAAUUUUCACAAAUCGCACGACUUUAAUCAUAUACUAAUUUAGCCAAUUGUAUAGAUUCGCAAAUCUUAUGGAUCUAGCACAUUGUCCAUAUCUUUCGCCAAGAAAAAAUGAGUCCUACCCUAAACCCACCUGUCAAAGAGACAAUCUUUUCCUAGAGUGCUAAGAUCAUUCCUAUCGUGUGCUUGUGGUCCAUAGUUGAAAUGGGAUUUACAUUGUUUCAUUUAUGUAUGUCAAAAUGCGAUUAGCCGAUUUGGUCAAAACUCCAAAGGUGCGAUCAUUGUUUCGUGUCUAUAUGUACAUGCAUGACACACAUAUAUGCAUGUGUGAAAUUGUUGUCACCGCCAAAGAAAAAAAAGGCUAGAAUGUGAAGACUACGUGAUCAUUGUCAUAUCAUCUCAAAUUAUCUAUACAACAGAAAUGGAUGAACCGAAAUAUAGAAACUAAAGUCCGCAAAUACGAGAACAAUCUUGCGAACGCACAACUUUGCAUGAAAACAAAGGAAUUCUCUCUCUCUCUCUCUCUCUCUCUCUAAAUGUAUUCUGAUCAAUAAUGAAAAAGCUUUUUGUUCUCCUAACGAGAAACUUAUUUGUGAUAGAGAAAAAUGUAAUCUAAAAAUUAUAAAAAUAUCUAAUUCAUAUCACAAAAUAACAGCAAGUUCAAAAUAUAUAUAUCUUUAAAAAAGGAUUUCCUGAAUUAACUAAACUAAUAAUUCUAAAAGCUUAUCUUCUUGAACACUCAUGUAGGUCUUCAUCAAAUCAUAAUGUAUGUUCUUACAAAUUUGUGCAUUGUAAAUUGAAUGAAUUGUUUAUUGAAGACAGCAUUGCUCUUUAAUUGAUAUGAUGAAGAUAUCAUCGAAAUGAUAUAUUUGAUAUGAUUGCCCUUGAUUGAUUUAUUGGGAUAUUGUACAUGGAAAAUUGAUUUUUCCGACAAAAUCAUCCUUGAAAAAUGGAGGUACUCCAAUUAAUAGUCAACUUUCAUGUUGUAGUCAUACUCACAUGUUAUAACUCAACCCCAAUAAGAGGAGACGUCUGCACUCCAUCACUCAGGCUAUCACAAGAAUUGACAAUACUUCUACAAAUUCGCCCUCCGGGAAAAGGGAGGGACUUCCUUGCCACUGCGAGGAUUUUAAGAAAGGGAGCUAGCUUGGCAAAUGAACUCUCUUUCCGUGGAACAUGAAAAGAACACGAUAUAACCGUCGAAACAAUAAUAAUCAUCCAUAAUUCAGCUUGCAUCCUCGACUUUUGAAAUAUACAUCUAGUACCCUGAGAUAAAGACGUACGCAAUCAUGGGGGUCUAAACAGCUGUGUAAAAUAGACAAGGCAAAGUUUGGUUUUUUUAUGAGGAAAAAAAAAAACAAGGUACAAAGCACAUUAAUUUUGACAUUAUUGAAACUACUGGAUGAAAAAAAAUAAUAAUGGAAAAAUGAAGGAUCACUUUCGUAACGCUAAGAUACUAUAUGGCACGUAUGAAUGAUAGAUUGAACAAUGAACGGAAAGAAUUUUACGCUAGGCACAAACAGCAAGAAAUUCAAGGUGAGUGCAAGAAAGAAAAUGAACUAGGAAAUGGUUGAAAAUAAGCAUGACUCGGAUAUCAUACAUACUAAAUGAUCCAACAUAGAAAUCGGAAGGUUUAUUCAAAUGGUAAUCAUGUUCGUCCUUCUUACUCAGGACUUGAAUUUGAAUCGCUAUACUUGCACAUUCUUCUAGGACCACUCCAAAGAACAUAGACCAAUGUGUCUCGAAUAAUUACACACCCAAAAUUUGUGGUAUAAGAGGACCGUUGCGCAUGAUAAGAAUAAGUUAGAAGUUCAAAACAUUCCAGACAUCCCAUUGAAUUCUGAAAAUAAUGGAACCCUAACACUUAAAUGGUCAACAAGGCGAUGCAAAUUUUAUCUAUCGUAAAAUGAAGAUUAAAUAGCUAAGUGAAUUACCAACCUAACAAAAAAGGAUGAAUGCAUAAAACAUUUCCCUCCUUCGGCAAGAUCCUAAAUGUUCUUUUGUUGGGUGAUCCAAAAGAACGGGGUAGAGUCGAUGUGGCCUUCCUUCCGGCUCAAGAUUCGGCUUAGUCCUAGAAAAAAUAAAUUCAAGAAAUUUAACUUUACUUAAGAAAAAAAUUAAAUCAAUUUAGUAUGGGUUCGUUUCAUGGAAAAUGUGACGUUUUUAGAAAAUAUUUUUCAAAAAGUCAUUUUUUAAGAAAAUGAUAAUAUUCUCAGAUGUUCAGCUAAAAUCUGAAAUGAACUAAAAAAAAAUAUUUUUUACCGUUUGAUAGGAUAAUUAGAUUUUCAAGGGAAAAAUUACCAAAAAAAAUCAAUUUUUUUAAUUUUCUUUUCUUUUCCUUCUUUUUAUUUUUCCUUCUUCCUCAGCCAGUGACCAACCGCUAGGCGUCGGCCAUCAUUGCGGCCGACCACUACUCGAGGAAGAAGGAAAAAAGAAAAGAAAAACGAGAAAAAGACAAAAGAUAAAUAAUUAAAAACUUGAUUUGUUUAAAUAUUUUUAUAAGAACGAAUAAUCCAUUAGUCAAGGACUUGAGCUCAAGUAUCGAGGACUUGCAUAUGACCUUUGUGGACUAGAGCUCAAGCAUCGAGGAUCCGAGUAUGUCCUUCAUGGGCUCCAGCCUAGGUGCCGAAGAAUCGAACAUGGGCACCAGGGGUUUGGGCACAGCCUCAAUGACCCCGGUGUGAACCCAAGCCCUAUCACUAGAGACCUUAUGUUAGAACUUUUGUGCUCAAGCGUAGAAUUUUCAAUUUAAAUGCAGAUAUUCAGUCAUAUUUUGGAAAAUAUUUUUCAUUUUUUCAAAGGAGACAAUCAUUUUUUCUAAAUUUAAGUGUAGUUUUCCAUUGACUAGGAAAAUAUUUUCCCGAAAAAAUGUUCCCUGCAAAACAAACAGAGCCUUGGAAGUGGUUCAUCUUUUACGAGUGGAAAUUAUAGCAUCCCUUGCAAAUUGAGUAAUAACUGUCCUUGAACCAAAUAUAAUCUAAGCAUGGCAAAAUUCUAAAGGACAGGGACAUGUCUGCUUUCAGUAUUAAUAAGAUCAUGGCAAUUAGAUUUCGCUUUGAGGAAAUAGGGUUACGGAAAUCUAUCUCUAGAAAGAUAUGCGCCACCACUAAAACUAUCUUUUGGAUCACUUAUUUAACCGUGGUAAAGUCAUAGCAUAUCAUCAUAGUCGCAUGUAAGGUUUUCAAUUUUUAAUGCUUGACAACAUUUUGAACAACUCUAACAAUCGCCAAUAAGCUGCACCUCAUAUUCGACAGCGGAAUUUUUAACCAUAGUCACAAUAUUAAGGUGCAGGCGAAAAGUUAUUGAAGAAAAUUAGGAUUCAUGCUACAUAGAUUCUUGAUUAUAGGAUAUUUUCUUUUCUGGCCAGUUAAGCUAAAGCUCAAUACAUGAAAAAUCACGCGAGGAACAAUCUAAAAUUCCUAAGAAGUCACCUGAAAUACGUCUAAAAAUCGUGUGCAUCAAAUCAACUACUCUACAGAAAUAUAAUCUUUAUUCAAUCUUAAUUAAGUUGUGUUUCGAUGUUGUUUAUUGUGAUUAGGUAUUGUCACGGUGCGAUUUUAUAUUCUUAUGCGCAAUUGAAAUGGUCAAGUAAACGCGCCCACAGUCCAAAUCUUGAACGGUAAUCUGUGGAGGGAUCAAAUCAAAGAAUGUGCUAGCUUCCCCCAAACAAAUCAUUUUGCAAAAACCACAAGCGCGUUUUAUUACAAACACAAUACCACAUGAACACAAUACACGAAAUCUCAUAUUUCCAAACCCAACUAAACUUCAGAUCACCUGAUCAACCAGCUUGAUUUAUUGGAUCAUCGCCAUACGUGGAAGUAUCAGAAAUCUCAAGCAUUAUAUAGCGCUACUUCAUAUCCGAUAAUAGUCGUGACAUGAUCUUUUCCUUCAUGCGCUUGCAAUGUGAGCAUCGAUAUCCUUGGUCAUAUCGACGAGCACAGCCAUGUACUUGUCGGGGCUAGGGUCACUCUCCUUGUACUUCUCGUACUCCAUGCUCAGCUUGGCCACACUGCCUUGCCCCUUUGGGACGACUUUGCAAGCCGCUUUGAAGACCUUCCACGUGUCAAAGAUGUGGCCCUCGAUGCCAUGGAGGGUGAAUGACAUGUUGUCGUCAUCGAACUCGACCUUCUCUUUGAACACUUCGGAUUUUCCUUCUAUACAAUUACACCGGCAAAAAUAGAAGGGUUAAGUUAGAGACUGCUGUCAAUUUAAUUUAAGUGACAACAUGGAAUAAAAUUGAUAAUUAGAGAGAUCAGAUUGAACCAAUUACCAACGGUGUAAUUCCAAAUCUUGAUAGCUCCAUGUUGAUCCCAGUCACCUUCGUGAACUUUAAUUCCUUGAAUGUUUUUGGAGGUGGCGGUGGGCAUUUUGUGGGUUUCGCUCCUCCAAAUCUUGUAGAACUUGUCAGCUGGUGCUUUCAGUUCGACUUCAGCCUCCAGUUUUCCCUGCAAAUUAGCCAUGUUG